Molecule: ribosomal RNA, 468 nt
Filed under: uncultured bacterium
Lineage: Bacteria
Description: partial 16S ribosomal RNA
Rfam family: Bacterial small subunit ribosomal RNA
Source: RNAcentral
GACGAACGCUGGCGGCGUGCUUAACACAUGCAAGUCGAACGGAAAGGCCCUGCUUUUGUGGGGUGCUCGAGUGGCGAACGGGUGAGUAACACGUGAGUAAACUGCCCUUGACUUUGGGAUAACUUCAGGGAACUGGGGCUAAUACCGGAUAGGAGCUCCUGCUGCAUGGUGGGGGUUGGAAAGUUUCGGCGGUUGGGGAUGGACUCGCGGCUUAUCAGCUUGUUGGUGGGGUAGUGGCUUACCAAGGCUUUGACGGGUAGCCGGCCUGAGAGGGUGACCGGCCACAAGGGGACUGAGAUACGGACCAGACUCCUACGGGAGGCAGCAGUGGGGAAUAUUGCACAAUGGGCGGAAGCCUGAUGCAGCAACGCCGCGUGCGGGAUGACGGCCUUCGGGUUGUAAACCGCUUUCGCCUGUGACGAAGCGUGAGUGACGGUAAUGGGUAAAGAAGCACCGGCUAACUACGUG